ACGAGUGGCGGACGGGUGAGUAAUGUCUGGGAAACUGCCUGAUGGAGGGGGAUAACUACUGGAAACGGUAGCUAAUACCGCAUAACGUCGCAAGACCAAAGAGGGGGACCUUCGGGCCUCUUGCCAUCGGAUGUGCCCAGAUGGGAUUAGCUAGUAGGUGGGGUAAAGGCUCACCUAGGCGACGAUCCCUAGCUGGUCUGAGAGGAUGACCAGCCACACUGGAACUGAGACACGGUCCAGACUCCUACGGGAGGCAGCAGUGGGGAAUAUUGCACAAUGGGCGCAAGCCUGAUGCAGCCAUGCCGCGUGUAUGAAGAAGGCCUUCGGGUUGUAAAGUACUUUCAGCGGGGAGGAAGGGAGUAAAGUUAAUACCUUUGCUCAUUGACGUUACCCGCAGAAGAAGCACCGGCUAACUCCGUGCCAGCAGCCGCGGUAAUACGGAGGGUGCAAGCGUUAAUCGGAAUUACUGGGCGUAAAGCGCACGCAGGCGGUUUGUUAAGUCAGAUGUGAA
This 511-nucleotide ribosomal RNA is filed under the name Escherichia coli. Its description in RNAcentral is "bacterial SSU rRNA". It matches the Rfam family "Bacterial small subunit ribosomal RNA", at positions 91 to 598 of the family's 1533-position model. Lineage: Bacteria; Pseudomonadati; Pseudomonadota; Gammaproteobacteria; Enterobacterales; Enterobacteriaceae. The record is from RNAcentral.